UCGAGAAUCUUCCGCAAUGCGCGCAAGCGUGACGGAGCGACGCCGCGUGGGUGAUGAAGGCCUUCGGGUUGUAAAGCCCUGUCAGUUGCUAGGAAUGGCAGGUGGUGAACAACUAUCCUGUUUGACCAUGCGACAAAGGAAGCACCGGCUAAAUACGUGCCAGCAGCCGCGGUAAUACGUAUGGUGCAAACGUUGUUCGGAAUCACUGGGCCUAAAGAGCGCGUAGGCGGUUUGGUAAGUCAGGUGUGAAAUCCCUCGGCUCAACCGAGGAACUGCACCUGAUACUGCUUGACUAGAGUGCAGGAGGGGAGAGUGGAAUUCCUGGUGGAGCGGUGAAAUGCGUAGAUAUCAGGAGGAACGCCGGUGGCGAAAGCGAUUCUCUGGCCUGCCACUGACGCUGAGGCGCGAAAGCUAGGGGAGCAAACGGGAUUAGAUACCCCCGUAGUCC
This 448-nucleotide ribosomal RNA is filed under the name uncultured prokaryote. RNAcentral's name for it is "bacterial SSU rRNA". It matches the Rfam family "Bacterial small subunit ribosomal RNA", at positions 355 to 796 of the family's 1533-position model. The record is from RNAcentral.